Molecule: ribosomal RNA, 1337 nt
Filed under: metagenome
Description: bacterial LSU rRNA
Rfam family: Bacterial large subunit ribosomal RNA
Source: RNAcentral
UCUGAGACGUGAUACCGAGCCGCUUCAGGCGAAGUCAUUAAUCCUAUGCUGCCUAGAAAAGCCCAGUAGCGAGUUGACAUGGUGCCCGUACCCCAAACCAACACAGGUGGACAGGUAGAGCAUACCAAGGCGAGUGGGAUAACUAUGGUUAAGGAACUCGGCAAAUUUCCUCCGUAACUUCGGGAUAAGGAGGACCCCAGUAGCGUGACGAGACUUGCUCUCUGAGCGUGAGGGGGUGGCACAAAAUUGAGGGAAGCGACUGUUUACCAAAAACACAGCAGCGUGCUAAGCCGUAAGGCGCUGUAUACGCUGUGACUCCUGCCCGGUGCUGGAAGGUUACGGGGAUGGGUUAGUCCUUCGGGACGAAGCUCUGAACCUAAGCCCCAGUAAACGGCGGCCGUAACUAUAACGGUCCUAAGGUAGCGAAAUUCCUUGUCGGGUAAGUUCCGACCUGCACGAAUGGAGUAACGACUUCCCUACUGUCUCAACCAUAGACCCAGCGAAAUUGAAGUACGAGUAAAGAUGCUCGUUAGCUGCAGAAGGACGGAAAGACCCCGUGGACCUUUACUAUAACUUGAUGUUGUGUUUUGUCAUAUGUUGUGUAGGAUAGGUGGGAGACAAGGAAGCAUGGACGCUAGUCUGUGUGGAGUCAUCGUUGAAAUACCACCCUGCAUAUGGUGAGGCUCUAACCUAGACCCGUUAUCCGGGUUGGGGACAGCGUCAGGCGGGUAGUUUAACUGGGGCGGUUGCCUCCUAAAGAGUAACGGAGGCGCCCAAAGGUUCCCUCAGCCUGGUUGGCAAUCAGGCGUCGAGUGCAAUGGCAAAAGGGAGCUUGACUGCGAGACCUACAAGUCGAGCAGGAGCGAAAGCUGGGCAUAGUGAUCCGGCGGUUGCGUGUGGAAGCGCCGUCGCUCAACGGAUAAAAGGUACCCCGGGGAUAACAGGCUAAUCUUGCCCAAGCGUCCAUAGCGACGGCAAGGUUUGGCACCUCGAUGACGGCUCAUCGCAUCCUGGGGCUGAAGCAGGUCCCAAGGGUUGGGCUGUUCGCCCAUUAAAGCGGUACGCGAGCUGGGUUCAGAACGUCGUAGACAGUUCGGUCCCUAUCCUCUGUAGCCGUAGGUGAAUUGAGGAAAGCUGUCCCUAGUACGAGAGGACCGGGACGGACGCAGCUCUCGUGUGCCAGUUGUCCUGCCAAGGGCAUGGCUGGUUAGCGACCUGCGGAAAGGAUAACCGCUGAAAGCAUCUAAGCGGGAAGCCUCUUCCGAGAUGAAUUCACCCACAGGGUUAACCUGGUAAGGCCCGUGGUAGACCACCACGUUGAUAGGCCGGAAGUGUAA